CUACACCUGCAAGUCGAGCGCGCCUUCGGGUGAGCGGCGGACGGGUUAGUAACGCGUGGGAACGUGCCCUUCUCUACGGAAUAGCCUCUGGAAACGGAGAGUAAUACCGUAUACGCCCUUUGGGGGAAAGAUUUAUCGGAGAAGGAUCGGCCCGCGUUAGAUUAGGUAGUUGGUGGGGUAACGGCCUACCAAGCCUACGAUCUAUAGCUGGUUUUAGAGGAUGAUCAGCAACACUGGGACUGAGACACGGCCCAGACUCCUACGGGAGGCAGCAGUGGGGAAUCUUAGACAAUGGGGGCAACCCUGAUCUAGCCAUGCCGCGUGAGUGAUGAAGGCCUUAGGGUCGUAAAGCUCUUUCGCCUGUGAUGAUAAUGACAGUAGCAGGUAAAGAAACCCCGGCUAACUCCGUGCCAGCAGCCGCGGUAAUACGGAGGGGGUUAGCGUUGUUCGGAAUUACUGGGCGUAAAGCGCGCGUAGGCGGAUUAGAAAGUUGGGGGUGAAAUCCCGGGGCUCAACCCCGGAACUGCCUCCAAAACUGCUAGUCUAGAGUUCGAGAGAGGUGAGUGGAAUUCCGAGUGUAGAGGUGAAAUUCGUAGAUAUUCGGAGGAACACCAAUAGCGAAGGCAGCUCACUGGGCCGCUAUCGACGCUGAGGAGCGAAAGCUAGGGGAGCAAACAGGAUUAGGUACCCUGGUAGUCCUAGCUGUAAACGAUGGAUACUAGACGUAGGAACUGGAUUGACGGUUUCUGUGUCGCAGCUAACGCGUUAAGUAUCCCG
RNAcentral lists this ribosomal RNA (777 nucleotides) under uncultured Alphaproteobacteria bacterium. RNAcentral's name for it is "bacterial SSU rRNA". It matches the Rfam family "Bacterial small subunit ribosomal RNA", at positions 49 to 871 of the family's 1533-position model. The record is from RNAcentral. Lineage: Bacteria; Pseudomonadati; Pseudomonadota; Alphaproteobacteria.